GACGAACGCUGGCGGCGUGCUUAACACAUGCAAGUCGAACGGAAAGGCCCUGCUUUUGUGGGGUGCUCGAGUGGCGAACGGGUGAGUAACACGUGAGUAACCUGCCCUUGACUUUGGGAUAACUUCAGGAAACUGGGGCUAAUACCGGAUAGGAGCUCCUGCUGCAUGGUGGGGGUUGGAAAGUUUCGGCGGUUGGGGAUGGACUCGCGGCUUAUCAGCUUGUUGGUGGGGUAGUGGCUUACCAAGGCUUUGACGGGUAGCCGGCCUGAGAGGGUGACCGGCGACAUUGGGACUGCGAUACGGCCCAGACGCCUACGGGAGGCAGCAGUGGGGAAUAUUGCACAAUGGGCGGAAGCCUGAUGCAGAAACGCCGCGUGCGGGAUGACGGCCUUCGGGUUGUAAACCGCUUUCGCCUGUGACGAAGCGUGAGUGACGGUAAUGGGUAAAGAAGCACCGGCUAACUACGUG
RNAcentral lists this ribosomal RNA (468 nucleotides) under uncultured bacterium. Its description in RNAcentral is "partial 16S ribosomal RNA". It matches the Rfam family "Bacterial small subunit ribosomal RNA", at positions 28 to 507 of the family's 1533-position model. The record is from RNAcentral.